AAGAAUUUGCCCUAUCCUCUCGAGGAUAGGUCCUCUUCUAAACCGUGUAUACAUACCUUUGUUGCUUUGGCGGGCCGCCGUCUCGGCGUUGGCUUCGGCUGACUGUGCCCGCCAGAGGACCCCAACUCUUCUGUUUAGUAUUGUCUGAGUACUAUAUAAUAGUUA
RNAcentral lists this unclassified non-coding RNA (165 nucleotides) under uncultured Cryptosporiopsis. Its description in RNAcentral is "sequence contains ITS1". Lineage: Eukaryota; Fungi; Ascomycota; Leotiomycetes; Helotiales; Dermateaceae. The record is from RNAcentral.